This 253-nucleotide ribosomal RNA is filed under the name uncultured bacterium. Its description in RNAcentral is "partial 16S ribosomal RNA". It matches the Rfam family "Bacterial small subunit ribosomal RNA", at positions 524 to 776 of the family's 1533-position model. The record is from RNAcentral.
UACGUAGGGGGCAAGCGUUGUCCGGAAUCAUUGGGCGUAAAGAGCGUGUAGGCGGCCAGAUAAGUCCGCUGUGAAAACUCGAGGCUUAACCUCGAGCUGUCGGCGGAAACCAUCUGGCUAGAGUCCGGAAGAGGAGAAUGGAAUUCCCGGUGUAGCGGUGAAAUGCGCAGAUAUCGGGAAGAACACCCGUGGCGAAGGCGGUUCUCUGGGACGGUACUGACGCUGAGACGCGAAAGCGUGGGGAGCGAACAGG